Molecule: ribosomal RNA, 754 nt
Filed under: uncultured Glomeromycotina
Lineage: Eukaryota; Fungi; Glomeromycota
Description: SSU rRNA
Rfam family: Eukaryotic small subunit ribosomal RNA
Source: RNAcentral
GGCCUACCAUGGUUUUAACGGGUAACGGGGAAUUAGGGUUCGAUUCCGGAGAGGGAGCCUGAGAAACGGCUACCACAUCCAAGGAAGGCAGCAGGCGCGCAAAUUACCCAAUCCCAAUUCGGGGAGGUAGUGACAAUAAAUACUGAUACAGGGCUCUUCUGAGUCUUGUAAUUGGAAUGAGUACAAUUUAAAUCCCUUAACGAGGAACAAUUAGAGGGCAAGUCUGGUGCCAGCAAACCGCGGUAAUUCCAGCUCUAAUAGCGUAUAUUAAAGUUGUUGCAGUUAAAAAGCUCGUAGUUGAACUUCGGGACCGGUGGGUUGGUCGUGCCUCCGGUACGUACUGGUCUUACUGGUUCCUCCCUUCUGAAGAACCACGAUGUCAUUAAUUUGGUGUCGUGGGGAAUCAGGACUGUUACUUUGAAAAAAUUAGAGUGUUUAAAGCAGGCUAAAGCUUGAAUAGAUUAGCAUGGAAUAACGAAAUAGGACGUUUGAUCUUAUUUUGUUGGUUUCUAAGAUCGACGUAAUGAUUAAUAGGGAUAGUUGGGGGCAUUAGUAUUCAAUUGUCAGAGGUGAAAUUCUUGGAUUUAUUGAAGACUAACUACUGCGAAAGCAUUUGCCAAGGAUGUUUUCAUUAAUCAAGAACGAAAGUUAGGGGAUCGAAGACGAUCAGAUACCGUCGUAGUCUUAACCAUAAACUAUGCCGACUAGGGAUCGGAUGAUGUUAAUUUUUUAAUGACUCAUUCGGCACCUUACG